RNAcentral lists this ribosomal RNA (164 nucleotides) under Trichopilia leucoxantha. Its description in RNAcentral is "5.8S ribosomal RNA". It matches the Rfam family "5.8S ribosomal RNA". From Rfam's summary of the family: 5.8S ribosomal RNA (5.8S rRNA) is a component of the large subunit of the eukaryotic ribosome. It is transcribed by RNA polymerase I as part of the 45S precursor that also contains 18S and 28S rRNA. Functionally, it is thought that 5.8S rRNA may be involved in ribosome translocation. The record is from RNAcentral. Lineage: Eukaryota; Viridiplantae; Streptophyta; Magnoliopsida; Asparagales; Orchidaceae.
GUCACGACUCUCGGCAAUGGAUAUCUCGGCUCUCGCAUCGAUGAAGAGCGCAGCGAAAUGCGAUAUGUGGUGCGAAUUGCAGAAUCCCGCGAACCAUCGAGUCUUUGAACGCAAGUUGCGCCCGAGGCCAGCCGGCCAAGGGCACGUUCGCCUGGGCGUCAAGC